RNAcentral lists this ribosomal RNA (525 nucleotides) under uncultured haloarchaeon. Its description in RNAcentral is "bacterial SSU rRNA". It matches the Rfam family "Archaeal small subunit ribosomal RNA", at positions 1 to 526 of the family's 1478-position model. The record is from RNAcentral. Lineage: Archaea; Methanobacteriati; Methanobacteriota; Halobacteria; Halobacteriales; Halobacteriaceae.
AUUCCGGUUGAUCCUGCCGGAGGCCAUUGCUAUCGGAGUCCGAUUUAGCCAUGCUAGUCGUGCGAGUUCAGACUCGCGGCACCGAGCUCAGUAACACGUGGCCAAACUACCCUACAGAGACGGAUACCCUCGGGAAACUGAGGUUAACCCGUCAUACCGAUCUCAGGCUUGAAUCGCAGAGAUCACAAAACGCCCCGGCGCUGUAGGAUGUGGCUGCGGUUGAUUAGGUAGACGGUGGGGUAACAGCCCACCGUGCCCAUAAUCAGUACAGGUUGUGAGAGCAAGAACCUGGAGACGGAAUCUGAGACAAGAUUCCGGGCCCUACGGGGCGCAGCAGGCGCGAAACCUUUACACUGCACGCACGUGCGAUAAGGGGACUCCGAGUGCGAGGGCAUAUCGUCCUCGCUUUCGUGUACCGUAGGGUGGUACACCAACAAGGGCUGGGCAAGACCGGUGCCAGCCGCCGCGGUAAUACCGGCAGCCCGAGUGAUGGCCGAUCUUAUUGGGCCUAAAGCGCCCGUACCU